CCUACGGGUGGCAGCAGUGAGGAAUAUUGGUCAAUGGACGCAAGCCUGAACCAGCCAUGCCGCGUGAAGGACGACGGCCCUAUGAGUUGUAAACUGCUUUUGUACGAGGGUAAAUGCCGAUACGUGUGUGGGGUUGAAAGUACCGUACGAAUAAGGAUCGGCUAACUCCGUGCCAGCAGCCGCGGUAAUACGGAGGAUUCAAGCGUUAUCCGGAUUUAUUGGGUUUAAAGGGUGCGUAGGCGGAUCGUGAAGUUAGAGGUGAAAUCCCGAGGCUCAACUCCGGCACUGCCUCUGAUACUGGCGGGCUAGAGUUUAGUUGCGGUAGGCGGAAUGUAUGGUGUAGCGGUGAAAUGCAUAGAGAUCAUACAGAACACCGAUUGCGAAGGCAGCUUACCAAACUACGACUGACGUUGAGGCACGAAAGCGUGGGGAGCAAACAGGAUUAGAUACCCGGGUAGUC
RNAcentral lists this ribosomal RNA (460 nucleotides) under uncultured bacterium. RNAcentral describes it as "partial 16S ribosomal RNA". It matches the Rfam family "Bacterial small subunit ribosomal RNA", at positions 338 to 795 of the family's 1533-position model. The record is from RNAcentral.